RNAcentral lists this ribosomal RNA (405 nucleotides) under uncultured bacterium. Its description in RNAcentral is "partial 16S ribosomal RNA". It matches the Rfam family "Bacterial small subunit ribosomal RNA", at positions 28 to 526 of the family's 1533-position model. The record is from RNAcentral.
GAUGAACGCUGGCGGCGUGCCUAAUACAUGCAAGUCGAGCGAAGCGGGGACGGGUGAGUAACACGUGGAUAACCUCCUAUAAGACUGGGAUAACUUCGGGAAACCGGAGCUAAACCGGAUACUUAGAGAUGGAUCCGCGCUUCAUUAGCUAGAUGUUAAGGUAACGGCUUACAAAGGCAACGAUGCAUAGCCGACCUGAGAGCGUGGUCGGCCACACUGGAACGUAGACACGUUCCAGACUCCUACGGGAGGAAGAGUUAGUGAAUCGUCCGCAAUGGUCGAAAGCCUGACGGAGCAACGCCGCGUGAGUGAUGAAGGUCUUCGGAUCGUAAAACUCUGUUAUUAGUGAAGCGGUACCUAAUCAGAAAGCCACGGCUAACUACGUGCCAGCAGCCGCGGUAAUUC